CCUACGGGUGGCAGCAGUGGGGAAUAUUGGACAAUGGGCGAAAGCCUGAUCCAGCCAUGCCGCGUGUGUGAAGAAGGCCUUCGGGUUGUAAAGCACUUUCAGUGGGGAAGAAAGCCUUGGGGCUAAUACCCUCGAGGAAGGACAUCACCCACAGAAGAAGCACCGGCUAACUCCGUGCCAGCAGCCGCGGUAAUACGGAGGGUGCGAGCGUUAAUCGGAAUUACUGGGCGUAAAGCGCGCGUAGGCGGUCUGAUAAGCCGGGUGUGAAAGCCCCGGGCUCAACCUGGGAACGGCAUCCGGAACUGUCAGGCUAGAGUGCAGGAGAGGAAGGUAGAAUUCCCGGUGUAGCGGUGAAAUGCGUAGAGAUCGGGAGGAAUACCAGUGGCGAAGGCGGCCUUCUGGACUGACACUGACGCUGAGGUGCGAAAGCGUGGGUAGCAAACAGGAUUAGAUACCCGAGUAGUC
This 465-nucleotide ribosomal RNA is filed under the name Vreelandella stevensii. Its description in RNAcentral is "partial 16S ribosomal RNA". It matches the Rfam family "Bacterial small subunit ribosomal RNA", at positions 338 to 795 of the family's 1533-position model. The record is from RNAcentral. Lineage: Bacteria; Pseudomonadati; Pseudomonadota; Gammaproteobacteria; Oceanospirillales; Halomonadaceae.